Molecule: ribosomal RNA, 254 nt
Filed under: uncultured bacterium
Lineage: Bacteria
Description: partial 16S ribosomal RNA
Rfam family: Bacterial small subunit ribosomal RNA
Source: RNAcentral
UACGUAGGGUGCGAGCGUUGUCCGGAAUUAUUGGGCGUAAAGAGCUUGUAGGCGGUUUGUCGCGUCUGCUGUGAAAAUCCGGGGCUCAACCCCGGACUUGCAGUGGGUACGGGCAAACUGGAGUACUGCAGGGGAGACUGGAAUUCCUGGUGUAGCGGUGAAAUGCGUAGAUAUCAAGAGGAACACCAGUGGCGAAGGCGAGUCCCUGGACGAUACCUGACACUGGAGGCACGAAAGCCAAGGGAGCAAACAGG